GACGAACGCUGGCGGCGUGCUUAACACAUGCAAGUCGAACGGAAAGGCCCCUUUGGGGGUACUCGAGUGGCGCACGGGUGAGUAACACGUGCGUAACCUGCCCUUGACUUCGGGAUAACUUCAGGAAACUGGGGCUAAUACCGGAUAGGAAUCCUUGCUGCAUGGUGGGGGUUGGAAAGAUUCGGCGGUUUUGGAUGGACUCGCGGCUUAUCAGCUUGUUGGUGGGGUAGUGGCUUACCAAGGCUUUGACGGGUAGCCGGCCUGAGAGGGCGACCGGCCACAGUGGGACUGAGAUACGGCCCAGACUCCUACGGGAGGCAGCAGGGGGGAAUAUUGCACAAUGGGCGGAAGCCUGAUGCAGCAACGCCGCGGGCGGGAUGACGGCCUUCGGGUUGUAAACCGCUUUCAGCAGGGGCGAAGCUUGUGGUGACGGUACCUGCAGAAGAAGCACCGGCUAACUACGUG
RNAcentral lists this ribosomal RNA (465 nucleotides) under uncultured bacterium. RNAcentral's name for it is "partial 16S ribosomal RNA". It matches the Rfam family "Bacterial small subunit ribosomal RNA", at positions 28 to 507 of the family's 1533-position model. The record is from RNAcentral.